This 1251-nucleotide long non-coding RNA is filed under the name Oryza sativa Indica Group (long-grained rice). Its description in RNAcentral is "lncRNA OsLaMu_03g0030210". The record is from RNAcentral. Lineage: Eukaryota; Viridiplantae; Streptophyta; Magnoliopsida; Poales; Poaceae.
AGAAGAAGAAGAAGAAGAAGAUGGAGUCCUAAUAGGUUUUCUCCUUCUCGAAGGCCUCCACUGGUACACGGUGGUCACCGCGAGCAGCAUCCCGGCGCCGGAGCCGACGGCGCCCAUCAGGUCGGCGGCCACCGUCAGCGCGCCGACGCACACGCCGCCGAGCGCCGCCGCCGCCGGGAUGUACCGCUCCAGCUCCCUCUGCAUGCUCGCCUCCCGCAUCCCCGGCAUCACCAUCUGCUGCUCCCGGAGCCGCCUCGCCACGUCCCGGGACGACGACCCGGACACCACCACCCACGCCCUGGACAGCGCCGCGCACGCCGCGAGCACGAACGCCACGUACAUCGCCGCGUGGAGCGGGUUCGCCGCCGCGCUCGCCGCGCUCGCCGGCGCGGUCACGUAGUAGGCGAUGCCGCCGACGGGGACGGCGGCGUCCGGCGUCCACUUGCCGAGCAGGUCGACGAGGAGGCUCCCGCCGAACCGGCGGUACAGCGCCUGGGAGACGACGUAGAGCGACGAGACCGCCGAGGAGAGCAGCACGACGGGCAUGCCGGAGGUGUAGAGGAGGCGGACGCUGUAGGCGCCGCCGCGGUGGCUGCGCGGCGCGUUCCGCGGCCGCACCGGCAGCGCCACGCGCACGCCCUGGAGGUAGACGGCGGCGAGGAAGACGGCGCAGGUGGCGGCCAGGCCGCGCAGGUCGGGGAGGCUGCCGCCGCCGCCGCCGCGGAAGAAGGCCUCGCGCACCGCGGACAGCUUUCUGGCCCUGGUCGCCAGCAGGUGCGCCGCGGCGGUGACCGCGCCCACGAACUCGGCGCCGCGGCCGCGGUCCAUCGUCGCCGGGCUGAGCGCCCUGGUGACGACGCCCUCGCAGGUGUUGGCGGCGGUGAACAGGGAGAUGCCGGAGCCGAACCCGUACCCCUUCUGGAGGAGCUCGUCGAGGAAGAUGGCCACCAUGCCGCCGAGCACGAGCUGCAGCACGACGAGCACGGCGUUGCCGGCGCCGAGCACGCCGACGCUCCCGUACGCCCCGGACAGCACGUACGCCGUCGCCUCGCCGGCGGUGAUCACGAUCGAGAGCAACUUCUGCGCCGCGCUCCUGAAAAGAAAUCACGUCAAACACAUGCAAGAACGCAACGCCAUGAUCUGAUGAACUCGAUCGAUCUACUCACAGGAGGGCGCGGUCGUCGGGAUUGGAGGAGUCGGCGCGGACGAGGUUGGAGCCGACGAGGAGCUGGACGAGGGUGCCGGCGGUGA